AGCUCCAAUAGCGUAUAUUAAUGUUGUUGCAGUUAAAAAGCUCGUAGUUGAAUAUCUGGACUCAACUUUCGGUCCGGGGCCUUGUGUCCUGCGUACUGUUCUUGUUGGGUCCAUCUUAGUAGUGAAUGGUUCUGGCAUUAAGUUGUUGGGGUCGGGAGCUGCUUCGUUUACUGUGAAUAAAAUAGAGUGUUUAAAGCAGGCAUUACGCCUUGAAUACUUCAGCAUGGAAUAAAAUUAUAGGACUUAGUUGCUAUUUUAUUGGUUUGCGCACCUAGUAAUGAUUAAUAGGGACAGUUGGGGGUAUUCAUAUUUGAUUGUCAGAGGUGAAAUUCUUGGAUUUAUGAAAGAUGAACUUAUGCGAAAGCAUUUACCAAGGAUGUUUUCAUUAAUCAAGAACGAA
Molecule: ribosomal RNA, 400 nt
Filed under: phytoplankton environmental sample
Lineage: Eukaryota
Description: partial small subunit ribosomal RNA
Rfam family: Eukaryotic small subunit ribosomal RNA
Source: RNAcentral